Mesocricetus auratus (golden hamster) is the source of this 2932-nucleotide long non-coding RNA. RefSeq lists it as uncharacterized. Lineage: Eukaryota; Metazoa; Chordata; Mammalia; Rodentia; Cricetidae. The record is from RefSeq and is a predicted model, not a curated record. The transcript has 2 exons.
UCAUGUGCACCUCCCCCCACCAGCAACAGUUAACCUAACGGCCUCCUAUUUCUCAGGGGAGGCUGGCUGGCUGGCCUGGAAGCAGCUCAACCUGCCUCACCUGGGAUUGUCACCACUGCGGCUUUACAGGGUCAGGAGCCUCUGGAUUCACACAUGCUGUCACAGCAAAAUGGUUUCCCAGACUGUCAGCAGUGCCUCUAAACGGCGGGAGUUCCCAGGGCAAGCGAUAGGAGGAAGGAGCCUACAGGACCUACAAGGCCCAUGACUGUUCCUCUUUUAGCACUGUGAUUGUCUCCGAAAAUCGGGAGCAAAUGGGAGUGUGAGAUGAACAUUUAAUUGCCAUGCCUGUUCAUGAACGUUAAGUUUCUUCUUCUGCUAUGGCCUGUAUUCAUUAAGAGGCAGGAGUCUUUCUUUUGCAAGUCUUUACUGCCCUCUUGUGGUAUUUGGCUCCUGGAGUAAUUGCACCCUGAUGAGGAUCUUUUGCAGAUAUUUGCCCCAGGUUCAUGGGGUAGCCUGUGGCAGUGGAGUUCCAGUGAAUCCUGCAAGGCAGCACAAAGAAGGCACCUGGUCCAUCUUCCCAGAUGGACCUUUGCAGAAAUAACCUGGAACAUUAAUAUGAAGAAAAAAAAAAAGCAAGUGUUCGCCAAUGCCACUGAUGGUAAAAUGCCAGAGGGAGUUUUACAAUCACAAGGUACCUUAACUUAUAGAAAACUGCAAACCCCAAACAAUUAUAGAUUAUUUUGUUGUGAAUAUUCUAUAACCCUUGCUGCACUUGGACUCUGCAGGCAACAGGACCACGAAUGGAUCGGAAGAGAGGGGGAGUCAGUGGGGUCUCCAGGGGACCUGGAGUGGGCUGAGAGCCACAGCGUCUACUUUAGAGAGAGGCAGACAACAAUCUUCAAGACGAUGGGAAACGAUGGUUGUUAUCACAUGAGGAGGGCAGAAUUCAAAUGACAAAGCCACUACUGGGGAUGCUCAGCUAGAAUUUGAAUGCCCGUGAGAAGCCAGCUCCCAAAGUCAAACAAAUACCCAACCUACACAAGCCAGGGCUGGGCCUGAAGCUUGCCUUCCUUCGUGGCUGAUGAAAAGUGCACUGUACCAUACCCUGCCCCAAAGGGGCUCAAACCUGUGUUUCCACACAGAGGCUUUUAGGAGUCUGUCUCUGAAUGCUGGAUCCACAGCAAACCUUCUCUAAAAUGUCUCUAAUUAACAGGAGCAAGCAUUUUGAAAGAAAAACCAUCUGCUAUUACAUCUAGAACAGAAUCUUCAUAAAGUUCAUGUUCAUGGUUGUGUUUUUAAACCCAGGCAUCUCACCAUAGCUCUGUGGAGCACCUAGGACCAGCUGCAGCUGUACUGUUCUGUGUUCCCCUCUGGGUUCCAUGGCCAUCAGCUCGCAGGGAAGCUGAGGAUAUUCACGAGUGGCCACAGACUGGAAUGGAAUGACACUUAGGGUAAUUUCUCUGGGGCUCAGUUUUGUUUUCUGUAAAAUGGACUGAAAUGCUACCUCAUAGUAGAUGGAUGGGAAUCUUCCAUUUCUACUGGCUCAAUGCUGGGAGCUGCUUCGAUAAUAACCAGCCACAGCAAUUCCAGCUGGCAGGCAGUAUCAGAAGAGGUUCAGGACGGGUAGUGAGGAACAGACGAGGCCUCAUUAGGGAGACUCCCUAAAGAGGUAGACUCAGAGAGCUAAGAGGUCCCCAGAGUUCUGGAGAUGGGGGUUCUGGAGGAGGAGUCUCAAUGCAAGAUUGGGGUAUAAAUCCUACCUAUUUCUGUGUCUGUGUAUGGGGGGUGGGUAUCAGUCUGGCGUAAGAGGCUGCUGGGGGUCACUUUUUUACAUGGUGCCCCAGGGUCUGGGCUCCUGGGAGGCUAUGGAAAAUUGAGGUGUAGACUUUGCUGCAGGUUGCAGCAGGGAGGAGGUAGCAGACGAGCAAGUAGCUUCAGGAAUGGAGAGCCUCAAACAAGAGAGUAAAGAUGUUCAGGUAGAAGGCCCCCAGAUCCUUGAAAAGCACACAUUGUUUUAAAAUCCAGGCUAGAUGUCCUGGGAUCCUUCAGGUAUAACCCACAGGCCUUGAAAGUGAAUGGGGACUCUGUGAUAAUUGCUAGAAAGAGCCAAUGGAUUAUCAAUCAGUAUGUUACUGUGACCCACAUGGGUACUCACAGGUUUCUGGGGCCUGGAGCAGUGUGGGGUACAGAAAGAUGACCUCUGAUAAAAAGUGAGACCAUGGUGGCACGCUCCUCCACCCUAAGCCAUCAGUUCUAUGAAUGUGGCCACUCACCGAUGGCCCUUGCUGAGGCCAAAGGUCCUGCUUAUUUCUGUAGCCUGUCAGCUGAGAAAUACACACAGUCUCUGGGGGUUACCACGCAUUGGCUGAGGACAAAUUUUUCACAGGGUCCCACAAGAUGAAGGUUAGUUUGCGGUCAAGCGAGAGCAAAGCCACUCUGAGGCGUGAGGGGGUGACUGCCCUCCAGUUCUGCUUCAGGGUUGGGGUGCAUUGCCCCAGCAUGGGUAGGGUUUCCUAUCUCAGGCGAACAGGAUAGGUUUCUUCACCUAGGGCUCAUCAUAAAAGAGCACAAGAAACAUACAAAAUGAGAGCAAACACCAAACUCCCCAGGAGGAGGCGCUGUGGUGAUGUGUGACACACAGGGAACUCAGUCACCGGGCUUCUCUGUGCCAGGUGGGGGAAGUGAGGGGAGGCAGGGUCCUCCUGUUGUUUACAUUUUCUGUGGUUUGGAUGUGAAGUUCCCCCUGUAGGCUCAUGUGUUUGAACACUUGGUCCCCACUGGUGGCCCUGCUUGGGGAUGUUUUGGAACAUUUAGUAGGGAGCCUUCCUGGAGGACAUGGGUCAGUGAGGACGGGCCUCGAUCACGUCCAGUUUCCUCACCCUGUUGCCACCAAGCCUCCUCCACUACGGUCCCUCAAUAAACCUGUCCCCCC